Molecule: ribosomal RNA, 468 nt
Filed under: uncultured bacterium
Lineage: Bacteria
Description: partial 16S ribosomal RNA
Rfam family: Bacterial small subunit ribosomal RNA
Source: RNAcentral
GACGAACGCUGGCGGCAUGCUUAACACAUGCAAGUCGAACGGAAAGGCCCUGCAUUUGUGGGGUGCUCGAGUGGCGAACAGGUGAGUAACACGUGUGUAAACUGCCCUUGUCUUUGGGAUAACUUCAGGAAACUGGGGCUAAUACCGGAUAGGAGCUCCUGCUGCAUGGUGGGGGUUGGAAAGAUUCGGCGGUUGGGGAUGGACUCGCGGCUUAUCAGCUUGUUGGUGGGGUAGUGGCUUACCAAGGCUUUGACGGGUAGCCGGCCUGAGAGGGUGACCGGCCACAUUGGGACUGAGAGACGGCCCGUACUCCUACGGGAGGCAGCAGUGGGGAAUAGUGCACAAUGGGCGGAAGCCUGAUGCAGCAACGCCGCGUGCGGGAUGACGGCCUUCGGGGUGGAAACCGCGUUCGCCUGUGACGAAGCGUGAGUGACGGUAAUGGGUAAAGAAGCACCGGCUAACUACGUG